UACGUAGGGGGCAAGCGUUGUCCGGAUUUAUUGGGCGUAAAGAGCGUGUAGGCGGCCUGACAGGUCUGCUGUGAAAACUCGAGGCUCAACCUCGAGAUGUCGGCGGAAACCGUCUGGCUAGAGUCCGGAAGAGGAGAGUGGAAUUCCUGGUGUAGCGGUGAAAUGCGCAGAUAUCAGGAAGAACACCGGUGGCGAAGGCGGUUCUCUGGGCCUGACCUGACGCUGAGGAGCGAAAGCGUGGGGAGCGAACAGG
Molecule: ribosomal RNA, 253 nt
Filed under: uncultured bacterium
Lineage: Bacteria
Description: partial 16S ribosomal RNA
Rfam family: Bacterial small subunit ribosomal RNA
Source: RNAcentral